Molecule: long non-coding RNA, 571 nt
Organism: Apis dorsata (giant honeybee)
Lineage: Eukaryota; Metazoa; Arthropoda; Insecta; Hymenoptera; Apidae
Exons: 2
Source: RefSeq, a predicted model, not a curated record
AUUCAAAUAAUCUUUAGAAUCAACUUUAUAGUUCUAAUUAAAAAGUAUCCAAAAGAAAUAAAUAUAUCAUACAGAAGCAUGUUUCCAAUAUGGCGACGCGCAAUUUGAUCUAACCGGAACGUUGCGUAUAAAUCGAACGUAUGCUUCGUUAACCAUUUUAAAAUAUUUUUUUUUUAUUAAUAUCAUUUAUUCUGUGAUUUUAGUGAAAUAAAAGAAGUUAGAGAAAUAUUAUAUAUAAUUAAUUUUUUCCAGUGUUUAUUCACAAGGAUGUAAAUUACAUACAUACAUGUAGAAACCGAACAAGUUAGAAUGAAAGACGGACAAUCGCUAGGCGAUUUAAUGGCAUGAGCAAGUUCGCAGCGAAAAAUCUUACCAAUGACAGCAUACAUUUUAUUAAUUAUUAUUUUAUAUACAUGUGGUCGUAUUGUAUGUAUUUAUUAAUAAAACAUGACCACUAACGUAUAAAGUAUAAGUAUUUAUGAAUUACUUAAAAACAAUUGUAAAUGUGGCACAGCCCAAGUAAAUCCCUGAAGAAAAUCUUUAAGAAUUAAUAAAAUUCCUUUUAUUAUAA